RNAcentral lists this unclassified non-coding RNA (1188 nucleotides) under Zea mays. RNAcentral describes it as "misc RNA Zm00001eb368800". Lineage: Eukaryota; Viridiplantae; Streptophyta; Magnoliopsida; Poales; Poaceae. The record is from RNAcentral.
AACCGCCGCCGAGGAGCAGCGCUGCGUCUCAGAGCUCCCCGGCGAGUCGUCCAUCACCAUCAAAAAGGCCGCACCACACUAAUCACAAGCAUCGAACUUCCUAAAGCGCUCUGGUCGCAGACUCGCAGUGGCCGCAGCUGCAGCGUCCCCUCCCUUUUCGCCAUCGAGCGUCAACUGUGCUGGCCGCCGGCGCGUAACUGCACCAGGGUCACUGCUUACGAGGAAGAGGAGGCACAACAGUGUUGUUGGGGUGUCUCGUCGUGCGGUGCCGGUGCCGGUGACCAUGGGCGUGCACGCCAGGGCGAUGAGCUGGUACACGAGCCCGCCGGGGUCGCCGGCGCCGGGGAGCGCCGCCGAGGCGGAGCACGCGCUGAGCAGCAGCCCCCGGGGCGGCGACACCAACAUGGUCAUCGUCCUCGCCGCGCUGCUGUUCGCGCUCCUCUUCGCGCUGGGCAUCAACUCGCUCGCGCGCUGCCUCAUCCGCUGGGCGCGCCGCGCGCCGGCAGCGGAGGGCGGCGGCGCCGGCGGGCUCGAGAAGCGCGUGCUCCGGAGCAUGCCCGUCGAGGUGUACGGCGCCGCGGCCGUCACCGUCGCCGACGUCUGCGCCAUCUGCCUCGGCGAGUUCGCGGACGGCGAGAAGGUGCGCGUGCUGCCGCGCUGCGCCCACGGCUUCCAUGUCCGCUGCGUCGACACCUGGCUCCUGUCGCACGACUCCUGCCCCACGUGCCGGGGCUCCGUGCUCGACGGCGCAAAGGCCGCCACUCCCGCCGGUGGGGGCAGCCGGUGGCAGGGCAGCGAGGCUGCUGCCAUCGCCGUUGUCAUUGGAUGACGUGGACAGGAAGGGCCCGCGUGCCCAUUGGUGGUGGUGGUGGAGCUAGGUCUGCAAUAAUACAGUUUAGUUCGGUUCGAUUUAGCACAAUUUUGGAGCAUUGAGCUGAGCACAUAUGGCCCGUAUUCUAAGAUGUACGGUGGACAUCUAUUUUGCAGGUCACUAGACGUUGAAAACCAUUUCCUUUCUUUUUUUCAUAUUAGAUACGUAUUAGUUUUAGUUUUUGGAUAUUGUAUUUGUCGACAGCUAUCUAGGCGCCAAACACCGGAGAUGAACCGCUUGUAGUGCUCUCUGUGGAGGUGCAGACGGUCCACAACACAGGACCAGACGAUCCACAAUCUGGGUGCAGGAGCGGUUCC